Mycena vulgaris is the source of this 93-nucleotide non-coding RNA. The record is from the annotation of a GenBank genome assembly. NCBI's taxonomy places the organism in Eukaryota, Fungi, Basidiomycota, Agaricomycetes, Agaricales, Mycenaceae.
GCUCUGGUGGUCUAGUAGAAUGAUACGUGCUUUGGGACUUUCACAAAAGUAAUCAGAUGCACGGGGUCCCGGGUUCAAAUCCCGGCCAGGGUC